UUAAAUUUCUGAAUCAAAAGUAAACCCCAAAAAAAAAAAAGAAGCACCUUGUGAUACUUAAAUUUUUUAGUGUCUCCCAUAAAAUAGUUCCAGACAAAGGCAAAUAUGAAGUUUAGGAAUCCAUGUAUUUAGUGGAUGUCAUUUUCUGAAUAUAAUUCUGUAUGAAAUGGUGCAAUACAAGAAUUUCCUUCUAAUCUUGAAGCAUACAGUUUAGGUGCUUGGCAUAUAAUUUGCUAAGCACACUCAGAAGACUAUGGGCCUAUAAGAGGGCAGAUUUUUCUCAUUAUCCUUUUUGUGUUUUGGUACUAUAAUUGCUAGCCCCCAACCUUCAGGAUAUGAUUUGUUUGAUUGAGAUGCAAACCUGGGCUAACUAGUGGAACUAGUCCUCCUCCAGGUCUCCACACUCCGUGUGUGGCAUUGCCAUAUAAGCCAUAAUACAAAAUCCAUCCAUCUCUAACUUAAAUGUAGCCCACGUUUCCUGCAAUUAAAGGAGAUCACAUUUGGAGUGGAACUUAACCCAAAAAGGUGGUCUUUGGGACUGACUGGCCAGCCUGCAAUGUUCCAUGAGAUGAGGAUGAGAGGGCUGGCUUUGGGGAAGAUAUCAUGAUACCUGCUUUUGUGGAGUUACAUUUGAGGUGUUAAAUUUUGGCUUGAGAGUGUUCCUCCUGUAAGGCAGUGAGAUGCCUUUCCUCCCCCUUGAUUACAAAGAGGAGAAGCAGGGAAAUGUGUCUCCCAGGUCAAGUGACUGCAAUGAGUUCACUGGACCAAGUAGAUGGUAUACUCCCUGGAGGGCAUCCUACAAUUUGAUCCAUCUGGGUCAAAUUCAGCAUUUUGGAGGUACAAUGUUCCUGCCGAUUCCCUUCAGAGUACCUAGCAUCCUGAGUACUGGCAGAGCUUUAUGGCAUCAUUAACAUGCCAUGACACCCACCCACCUACAAUUAUCUCUUUUACCCAGAUAAAGGCCAUCUCCCCAUGAAUGACUUAUCAUACCUUCAUACCGUCCCCAAUCUAUCCUGCUGUAAAGUCUGCCCCACUUACUCUUAUUUUGUCACACAAAGGUUGGAAAACCCUGGAACAUGCUGUGAGACUCUAGGUGGGAAAUGACUGAUGUAUGUUGUGGAAAGAGGGCCACGGAGUGUGAAAAUAUGUUGGUGCCAGUAGUGGGGAAGAAGGGAGAGUGGGGAGAUGCAACCAAAGGAGGCAGACAGAGGCUGCCAUAGUGGGAGGUGAAGCAGCAGCUGUACAAGCCAGGGUGGAGGGAGGAAGUUUCCUCAUCUGUCCAGGGCCCCAACUACAGAUGGGAAAUCAAGAGACCUCCUCCUCCUCCUGGUGCUUUGACAGUGCAUUAGUGGAAUUAAUGUAUUGCUUCCUUUAAAGUAGGUGGGAAGUCGGGGCAACAAUACAGCUUACAAAGCUGCCUUCAAUCAUGCAAAGAAGUCAACAUACAAUUCACAUUUGGAGAAAAAGAAUAUUUCAGGGCAGCUACCAAAUGCUGUGCCAUGGACAACUGCAAUACUAUUCCUGACGUACCUCGCGCAGAUGCGAAAAACAGCAAUCUGGAG
Non-coding RNA from Python bivittatus (Burmese python), 1562 nucleotides. The record is from RefSeq and is a predicted model, not a curated record. Lineage: Eukaryota; Metazoa; Chordata; Lepidosauria; Squamata; Pythonidae.